Molecule: ribosomal RNA, 539 nt
Filed under: uncultured bacterium
Lineage: Bacteria
Description: bacterial SSU rRNA
Rfam family: Bacterial small subunit ribosomal RNA
Source: RNAcentral
AAUAGAUACCCUGGUAGUCCACGCCGUAAACGAUGAGUGCUAAGUGUUAGAGGGCUUCCACCCUUUAGUGCUGCAGCUAACGCAUUAAGCACUCCGCCUGGGGAGUACGGCCGCAAGGCUGAAACUCAAAGGAAUUGACGGGGGCCCGCACAAGCGGUGGAGCAUGUGGUUUAAUUCGAAGCAACGCGAAGAACCUUACCAGGUCUUGACAUCCUUCGCUACCUCUAGAGAUAGAGGGUUCCCCUUCGGGGGACGGAGUGACAGGUGGUGCAUGGUUGUCGUCAGCUCGUGUCGUGAGAUGUUGGGUUAAGUCCCGCAACGAGCGCAACCCUUGACCUUAGUUGCCAGCAUUCAGUUGGGCACUCUAAGGUGACUGCCGGUGACAAACCGGAGGAAGGUGGGGAUGACGUCAAAUCAUCAUGCCCCUUAUGACCUGGGCUACACACGUGCUACAAUGGAUGGUACAAAGGGUCGCGAAACCGCGAGGUGGAGCUAAUCCCAAAAAACCAUUCUCAGUUCGGAUUGCAGGCUGCAACUCG